UACAGAGGGGGCAAGCGUUGUUCGGAAUUACUGGGCGUAAAGCGCGCGUAGGCGGCUUUGCAAGUCGGGUGUGAAAUCCCCAGGCUCAACCUGGGAACUGCAUUCGAGACUGCAUUGCUAGAGUAUGGGAGAGGGAAGUGGAAUUUCCGGUGUAGCGGUGAAAUGCGUAGAUAUCGGAAGGAACAUCAGUGGCGAAAGCGACUUCCUGGACCAAUACUGACGCUCAUGUGCGAAAGCGUGGGGAGCAAACAGG
This 253-nucleotide ribosomal RNA is filed under the name uncultured bacterium. RNAcentral describes it as "partial 16S ribosomal RNA". It matches the Rfam family "Bacterial small subunit ribosomal RNA", at positions 524 to 776 of the family's 1533-position model. The record is from RNAcentral.